UACGUAGGGUGCAAGCGUUAAUCGGAAUUACUGGGCGUAAAGCGUGCGCAGGCGGUUUUGUAAGUCUGACGUGAAAUCCCCGGACUCAACCUGGGAAUUGCGUUGGAGACUGCAAGGCUAGAAUCUGGCAGAGGGGGGUAGAAUUCCACGUGUAGCAGUGAAAUGCGUAGAGAUGUGGAGGAACACCGAUGGCGAAGGCAGCCCCCUGGGUCAAGAUUGACGCUCAUGCACGAAAGCGUGGGGAGCAAACAGG
Molecule: ribosomal RNA, 253 nt
Filed under: uncultured bacterium
Lineage: Bacteria
Description: partial 16S ribosomal RNA
Rfam family: Bacterial small subunit ribosomal RNA
Source: RNAcentral